Equus caballus (horse) is the source of this 52-nucleotide non-coding RNA. NCBI's taxonomy places the organism in Eukaryota, Metazoa, Chordata, Mammalia, Perissodactyla, Equidae. The record is from Rfam.
UUUUUAGUAUAAGUAUGUCCCGCAUAAUAUUUGGGACACACUUAUGCUAAAA